GCAUCGAUGAAGAACGCAGCGAAAUGCGAUAAGUAAUGUGAAUUGCAGAAUUCAGUGAAUCAUCGAAUCUUUGAACGCACAUUGCGCCUGGCAGUAUUCUGCCAGGCAUGCCUGUCCGAGCGUCAUUU
This 128-nucleotide ribosomal RNA is filed under the name Ceratocystis fimbriata. RNAcentral's name for it is "5.8S ribosomal RNA". It matches the Rfam family "5.8S ribosomal RNA", at positions 30 to 154 of the family's 154-position model. From Rfam's summary of the family: 5.8S ribosomal RNA (5.8S rRNA) is a component of the large subunit of the eukaryotic ribosome. It is transcribed by RNA polymerase I as part of the 45S precursor that also contains 18S and 28S rRNA. Functionally, it is thought that 5.8S rRNA may be involved in ribosome translocation. The record is from RNAcentral. Lineage: Eukaryota; Fungi; Ascomycota; Sordariomycetes; Microascales; Ceratocystidaceae.